UACGUAGGGGGCAAGCGUUGUCCGGAUUUAUUGGGCGUAAAGCGCUUGUAGGCGGUCUGUUAAGUCCUGUAUGAAAACCCUUGGCUUAACCAAGGAAGUGCGCAGGAAACUGGCGGACUUGAGUGCCAAAAAAAAUCGCGGAAUUCCCGGUGUAGAGGUGAAAUUCGUAGAUAUCAAGAGAAACACCAAUGGCGAAAACGGCAACCUGGACAAACACUGACGCUGAGACGCGAAAGCGUGGGGAGCAAACAGG
Molecule: ribosomal RNA, 253 nt
Filed under: uncultured bacterium
Lineage: Bacteria
Description: partial 16S ribosomal RNA
Rfam family: Bacterial small subunit ribosomal RNA
Source: RNAcentral